This 629-nucleotide ribosomal RNA is filed under the name uncultured fungus. RNAcentral describes it as "eukaryotic LSU rRNA". It matches the Rfam family "Eukaryotic large subunit ribosomal RNA", at positions 24 to 664 of the family's 3401-position model. Lineage: Eukaryota; Fungi. The record is from RNAcentral.
CCCGCUGAACUUAAGCAUAUCAAUAAGCGGAGGAAAAGAAACUAACAAGGAUUCCCCUAGUAACUGCGAGUGAAGCGGGAAAAGCUCAAAUUUAAAAUCUGGCAGUCUCUGGCUGUCCGAGUUGUAAUCUAGAGAAGCAUUAUCCGCGCUGGACCGUGUACAAGUCUCCUGGAAUGGAGCGUCAUAGAGGGUGAGAAUCCCGUCUUCGACACGGACUGCCAGGGCUUUGUGAUGUGCUCUCAAAGAGUCGAGUUGUUUGGGAAUGCAGCUCAAAAUGGGUGGUGUACUUCAUCUAAAGCUAAAUAUUGGCCAGAGACCGAUAGCGCACAAGUAGAGUGAUCGAAAGAUGAAAAGCACUUUGGAAAGAGAGUUAAACAGUACGUGAAAUUGUUGAAAGGGAAGCGCUUGCAAUCAGACUUGCGCGGCGUCGAUCAACCUGGGUUCUCCCUGGUGCACUCGGCGCUGCUCAGGCCAGCAUCAGUUUCGGCGGUUGGAUAAAGGCCUAGGGAACGUGGGUUACUUCGGUGACUGUUAUAGCCCUAGGUGCAAUGCAGCCUGCUGGGACUGAGGACCGCGCUUCGGCUAGGAUGCUGGCGUAAUGGUUGUAAGCGACCCGUCUUGAAACACGG